Molecule: transfer RNA, 66 nt
Filed under: human gut metagenome
Also listed under: 1 other name
Rfam family: tRNA
About the family: Transfer RNA (tRNA) molecules are approximately 80 nucleotides in length. Their secondary structure includes four short double-helical elements and three loops (D, anti-codon, and T loops).
Source: RNAcentral
CGUUGUAGCUCAGUAGGUAGAGCGUGUGACUGUUAAUCACAAGGUCCAAGGUUCGAUCCCUUGCAA